CGAAGACAUUAAAAACCAUAACGUGAUGGUCACCAACUCUGUCCAAUGUGGGUCCUGCAGAGUGGGCGCUCGAGGACGUUUGUUGAAUGAACAACCAAGGGAAGGAAAGCCUCUUCUCGUUCUGAAUUUCGUUUCAUCUCAGACCCCUACCUUGGCACACACACAGCAGGAGAGACUGUCUCUGGACCCACAUCCCAUAACCGACGUCUACGCCUGAAUCUGCCACUUGAGCUGGGCCGGUUUGGUAGCACAGAUUCUACGUUGGGGUUGGGUCCUGCUCCCCAGCUUCCUUGUGGGGUAACCUCACCAAGCUGCUCCCCCCAUGAGCCUCUGUUUCUUCAUCUGCAAAAUGGGGAAAUUAACAGGACCAACCUCAGAGGCUGGCUGCAAAGAUUCAGUGAAUCACUGCAUGGAAAGGGCUUAGAGUGAGGUGUGAGGCUCGGAAUAAAUGCACAGUGAGUGAGUCCUCCAGCAGGCCCCCCAACCCCUCACCUGUGACCCCAGAGCCCCCACGGCGAGCAAUAAACCUGACCUCUUCACCUUGAUCCCGGUCCCAGGGGCCUUUGAUACCCUCAAAAUCAUAGAGUCCUUUGAACUAAACAUACCGUGGUUCCUUUAC
Long non-coding RNA from Choloepus didactylus (southern two-toed sloth), 619 nucleotides. RefSeq lists it as uncharacterized. The transcript has 3 exons. The record is from RefSeq and is a predicted model, not a curated record. Lineage: Eukaryota; Metazoa; Chordata; Mammalia; Pilosa; Megalonychidae.